Molecule: ribosomal RNA, 253 nt
Filed under: uncultured bacterium
Lineage: Bacteria
Description: partial 16S ribosomal RNA
Rfam family: Bacterial small subunit ribosomal RNA
Source: RNAcentral
UACAGAGGUCUCAAGCGUUGUUCGGAUUCAUUGGGCGUAAAGGGUGCGUAGGUGGCAUGGUAAGUCGGAUGUGAAAUCCCGGGGCUCAACCCCGGAACUGCAUUCGAUACUGCUGCGCUAGAGUACUGGAGAGGAGAUUGGAAUUUACGGUGUAGCAAUGAAAUGCGUAGAUAUCGUAAGGAAGACCAGUGGCGAAGGCGGAUCUCUGGACAGUUACUGACACUGAGGCACGAAGGCCAGGGGAGCAAACGGG